UAUUGAAAGAAGUCCCUUUGUCUGUGAUGAUAGGGAAAGUAAACAUGAUUGGAAAACAGAAAGCAGCACUGAGAAGGAGAAACUGACCAAAAGCAACACUGAGAAGAAUAAACUGAUGGCAGAAACUAUUGUGAUUAAUGCGGAGA
This 146-nucleotide non-coding RNA is filed under the name Thalassiothrix antarctica. Lineage: Eukaryota; Bacillariophyta; Fragilariophyceae; Thalassionematales; Thalassionemataceae. The record is from RNAcentral.